RNAcentral lists this ribosomal RNA (1507 nucleotides) under Salmonella enterica subsp. enterica serovar Enteritidis. RNAcentral describes it as "partial 23S ribosomal RNA". It matches the Rfam family "Bacterial large subunit ribosomal RNA", at positions 119 to 1533 of the family's 2925-position model. The record is from RNAcentral. Lineage: Bacteria; Pseudomonadati; Pseudomonadota; Gammaproteobacteria; Enterobacterales; Enterobacteriaceae.
UGGGGAAACCCAGUGUGACUCGUCACACUAUCAUUAACUGAAUCCAUAGGUUAAUGAGGCGAACCGGGGGAACUGAAACAUCUAAGUACCCCGAGGAAAAGAAAUCAACCGAGAUUCCCCCAGUAGCGGCGAGCGAACGGGGAGGAGCCCAGAGCCUGAAUCAGCAUGUGUGUUAGUGGAAGCGUCUGGAAAGGCGCGCGAUACAGGGUGACAGCCCCGUACACAAAAGCGCAUGUGCUGUGAGCUCGAUGAGUAGGGCGGGACACGUGGUAUCCUGUCUGAAUAUGGGGGGACCAUCCUCCAAGGCUAAAUACUCCUGACUGACCGAUAGUGAACCAGUACCGUGAGGGAAAGGCGAAAAGAACCCCGGCGAGGGGAGUGAAAAAGAACCUGAAACCGUGUACGUACAAGCAGUGGGAGCCCCACCACCAAAGCAUUUGCUGUACCGCGUUGACGGAGCGAAGCGACGUCAAACCGAUAAAACAGCAGUGUAAAGUGAGCCGCAGGGCGCUUUGCGCGACAGCGCAAAGGCAGGCGGUUUCGCGUAGCGAAAGCGAAUGCUUUGGGGUGGGGUGACUGCGUACCUUUUGUAUAAUGGGUCAGCGACUUAUAUUCUGUAGCAAGGUUAACCGAAUAGGGGAGCCGGAGGGAAACCGAGUCUUAAUUGGGCGUUAAGUUGCAGGGUAUAGACCCGAAACCCGGUGAUCUAGCCAUGGGCAGGUUGAAGGUUGGGUAACACUAACUGGAGGACCGAACCGACUAAUGUUGAAAAAUUAGCGGAUGACCUGUGGCUGGGGGUGAAAGGCCAAUCAAACCGGGAGAUAGCUGGUUCUCCCCGAAAGCUAUUUAGGUAGCGCCUCGUGAAUUCAUCUCCGGGGGUAGAGCACUGUUUCGGCUAGGGGGCCAUCCCGGCUUACCAACCCGAUGCAAACUGCGAAUACCGGAGAAUGUUAUCACGGGAGACACACGGCGGGUGCUAACGUCCGUCGUGAAGAGGGAAACAACCCAGACCGCCAGCUAAGGUCCCAAAGUCAUGGUUAAGUGGGAAACGAUGUGGGAAGGCCCAGACAGCCAGGAUGUUGGCUUAGAAGCAGCCAUCAUUUAAAGAAAGCGUAAUAGCUCACUGGUCGAGUCGGCCUGCGCGGAAGAUGUAACGGGGCUAAACCAUGCACCGAAGCUGCGGCAGCGACACUGUGUGUUGUUGGGUAGGGGAGCGUUCUGUAAGCCUGUGAAGGUGUGUCGUGAGGCAUGCUGGAGGUAUCAGAAGUGCGAAUGCUGACAUAAGUAACGAUAAAGCGGGUGAAAAGCCCGCUCGCCGGAAGACCAAGGGUUCCUGUCCAACGUUAAUCGGGGCAGGGUGAGUCGACCCCUAAGGCGAGGCCGAAAGGCGUAGUCGAUGGGAAACGGGUUAAUAUUCCCGUACUUGGUGUUACUGCGAAGGGGGGACGGAGAAGGCUAUGUUGGCCGGGCGACGGUUGUCCCGGUUUAAGCGUGUAGGUGUGUGUUC